This 75-nucleotide transfer RNA is filed under the name Pythium insidiosum. RNAcentral's name for it is "tRNA-Ile". It matches the Rfam family "tRNA". From Rfam's summary of the family: Transfer RNA (tRNA) molecules are approximately 80 nucleotides in length. Their secondary structure includes four short double-helical elements and three loops (D, anti-codon, and T loops). Further hydrogen bonds mediate the characteristic L-shaped molecular structure. tRNAs have two regions of fundamental functional importance: the anti-codon, which is responsible for specific mRNA codon recognition, and the 3' end, to which the tRNAs corresponding amino acid is attached (by aminoacyl-tRNA synthetases). tRNAs cope with the degeneracy of the genetic code in two manners: having more than one tRNA (with a specific anti-codon) for a particular amino acid; and 'wobble' base-pairing, i.e. permitting non-standard base-pairing at the 3rd anti-codon position. Lineage: Eukaryota; Oomycota; Peronosporomycetes; Pythiales; Pythiaceae. The record is from RNAcentral.
GGUCGGUAUAGCUCAGUCGGUAGAGCGCAGUGCUAAUAACGCUGUGGUCCUGGGUUCGAGCCCCAGUAUGAACCA